GUAUCAGUAGCAUAGUGGUUAGCGCACAGCCUCGGAUAGGUUGAGACGCGGGUUCGAAUCCCACCUGAGAUG
Molecule: non-coding RNA, 72 nt
Organism: Nippostrongylus brasiliensis
Lineage: Eukaryota; Metazoa; Nematoda; Chromadorea; Rhabditida; Heligmosomidae
Source: Rfam